UGAACCAGUACCGUGAGGGAAAGGCGAAAAGAACCCCGGCGAGGGGAGUGAAAAAGAACCUGAAACCGUGUACGUACAAGCAGUGGGAGCACAGGUUUACCUGUGUGACUGCGUACCUUUUGUAUAAUGGGUCAGCGACUUAUAUUCUGUAGCAAGGUUAACCGUAUAGGGGAGCCGUAGGGAAACCGAGUCUUAACCGGGCGUUAAGUUGCAGGGUAUAGACCCGAAACCCGGUGAUCUAGCCAUGGGCAGGUUGAAGGUUGGGUAACACUAACUGGAGGACCGAACCGACUAAUGUUGAAAAAUUAGCGGAUGACCUGUGGCUGGGGGUGAAAGGCCAAUCAAACCGGGAGAUAGCUGGUUCUCCCCGAAAGCUAUUUAGGUAGCGCCUCGUGAAUUCAUCUCCGGGGGUAGAGCACUGUUUCGGCUAGGGGGCCAUCCCGGCUUACCAACCCGAUGCAAACUGCGAAUACCGGAGAAUGUUAUCACGGGAGACACACGGCGGGUGCUAACGUCCGUCGUGAAGAGGGAAACAACCCAGACCGCCAGCUAAGGUCCCAAAGUCAUGGUUAAGUGGGAAACGAUGUGGGAAGGCCCAGACAGCCAGGAUGUUGGCUUAGAAGCAGCCAUCAUUUAAAGAAAGCGUAAUAGCUCACUGGUCGAGUCGGCCUGCGCGGAAGAUGUAACGGGGCUAAACCAUGCACCGAAGCUGCGGCAGCGAACGUAUCACCCAAGACAACUUUACGGAGUUGACGAUUGACGGAGCGAAGCGACGUCAAAGCGUUCAUUAAAGUCGAGUUGGCUUAGGGAUACGUUCGUUGGGUAGGGGAGCGUUCUGUAAGCCUGUGAAGGUGUGUCGUGAGGCAUGCUGGAGGUAUCAGAAGUGCGAAUGCUGACAUAAGUAACGAUAAAGCGGGUGAAAAGCCCGCUCGCCGGAAGACCAAGGGUUCCUGUCCAACGUUAAUCGGGGCAGGGUGAGUCGACCCCUAAGGCGAGGCCGAAAGGCGUAGUCGAUGGGAAACGGGUUAAUAUUCCCGUACUUGGUGUUACUGCGAAGGGGGGACGGAGAAGGCUAUGUUGGCCGGGCGACGGUUGUCCCGGUUUAAGCGUGUAGGUGUGUGUUCCAGGUAAAUCCGGUUCACUUUAACACUGAGGCGUGACGACGAGGCACUACGGUGCUGAAGCAACAAAUGCCCUGCUUCCAGGAAAAGCCUCUAAGCAUCAGGUAACAC
Molecule: ribosomal RNA, 1232 nt
Filed under: Salmonella enterica subsp. enterica serovar Typhimurium
Lineage: Bacteria; Pseudomonadati; Pseudomonadota; Gammaproteobacteria; Enterobacterales; Enterobacteriaceae
Description: partial 23S ribosomal RNA
Rfam family: Bacterial large subunit ribosomal RNA
Source: RNAcentral